GGCCGGCUGGCGCAAUGGUAGCGCGUCAGACUUCUACUUCUCUUUCAAAGAGGGAUAGAUGUUUAUCUGAAGGCUGCGGGUUCGAGCCCCGCGCUGGUCA
This 100-nucleotide transfer RNA is filed under the name Colletotrichum orbiculare MAFF 240422. RNAcentral describes it as "tRNA-Arg for anticodon UCU". It matches the Rfam family "tRNA". From Rfam's summary of the family: Transfer RNA (tRNA) molecules are approximately 80 nucleotides in length. Their secondary structure includes four short double-helical elements and three loops (D, anti-codon, and T loops). Lineage: Eukaryota; Fungi; Ascomycota; Sordariomycetes; Glomerellales; Glomerellaceae. The record is from Rfam by way of RNAcentral.